This 433-nucleotide ribosomal RNA is filed under the name uncultured bacterium. RNAcentral's name for it is "partial 16S ribosomal RNA". It matches the Rfam family "Bacterial small subunit ribosomal RNA", at positions 29 to 507 of the family's 1533-position model. The record is from RNAcentral.
AACGAACGCUGGCGGCAUGCCUAACACAUGCCAGUCGAACGAGACCUUCGGGUCUAGUGGAGCACGGGUGCGUAACGCGUGGGAACCUGCCCUUAGGUUCGGAAUAACUCCCCGAAAGGGGUGCUAAUACCGGAUAAUGUCUUCGGACCAAAGAUUUAUCGCCUUUGGAUGGGCCCGCGUUGGAUUAGCUAGUUGGUAGGGUAAAAGCCUACCAAGGCGACGAUCCAUAGCUGGUCUGAGAGGAUGAUCAGCCACACUGGGACUGAGACACGGCCCAGACUCCUACGGGAGGCAGCAGUGGGGAAUAUUGGACAAUGGGCGAAAGCCUGAUCCAGCAAUGCCGCGUGAGUGAUGAAGGCCUUAGGGUUGUAAAGCUCUUUUACCCGGGAUGAUAAUGACAGUACCGGGAGAAUAAGCGCCGGCUAACUCCGUG